This is a long non-coding RNA of Physeter macrocephalus (sperm whale), 354 nucleotides long. RefSeq lists it as uncharacterized. The record is from RefSeq and is a predicted model, not a curated record. NCBI's taxonomy places the organism in Eukaryota, Metazoa, Chordata, Mammalia, Artiodactyla, Physeteridae. The transcript is spliced from 3 exons.
GGCUGGUUGGUUCAGGAGCGCUCUCGGACCGCCUUGGGUGAAGCUGAAAGGCUGCGUGGAUUCCCUGUUGGAGAGAGCCUGGCCCUUUCUUCCGGUGCUGGGAUUGCGAUUCCGCCCAGACUCCCCGCAGAAGAACUGCAGACUGAGUUCCUGAACCGCUUUGCAAAAGGAGAGGCAAAGGCAGCAGGUGCAAAACCACCUUCAGAUGGCUCACCCUGUUUCUCCCAGAGGAAGAUUAUUCACAACACAAGCACACAUGCACAAGGAGAGAGGUAGACUCACACGGAGUUAAACAGCUCUGGUUACCAGCCUUGACGCAGGGAAAAGAAAGACACAGUAAUUGUCACAUAUGGC